ACCAUGCUGAAUAUACCGGUUCUCGUUAGAUCACCGAAGUCAAGCAUCAUUGGGUGCGGUCAGUACUUGGGUGGGUGACCACCUGGAAACACUGGGUGCCGUU
RNAcentral lists this ribosomal RNA (103 nucleotides) under Caerostris darwini. Lineage: Eukaryota; Metazoa; Arthropoda; Arachnida; Araneae; Araneidae. The record is from RNAcentral.